Molecule: transfer RNA, 88 nt
Rfam family: tRNA
About the family: Transfer RNA (tRNA) molecules are approximately 80 nucleotides in length. Their secondary structure includes four short double-helical elements and three loops (D, anti-codon, and T loops).
GCUCAGGUGGCGGAACUGGUAGACGCGCUAGCUUGAGGGGCUAGUGGGAUUUUUUCCCGUGGAAGUUCGAGUCUUCUCCUGAGCACAA